GUCAGUCUGGAGGAGGCAGCCAUGUGUCCAUGAAUGCUUAUUUAGUACGGUGAGGACAGAUGGCCUGGAAUUGCUGAAGAAGACCUUAAGAUAUAUUUAAAAGAGGAAAGGGAAAGAAACAAUAAGGGAGGAAAUAAAUUAGAGAAGAGGCAAAUGUGUGGCAAAGAAAAGUACACACACACAUAAACACACACACAUGCAAGCCACAUGCACACAAAUGCAGACAGACUAUAAAGUGGAUUAUAGGACUGUGUAUGUCCUACACACACAUUAUAUGUCCUACACGCACAGUGAUGAGGAGUGACAAAAUGAAGACUCCAGAAUCCUCUUUAUCAGAUCCUGAAUGUGCACUUUCUGAAGUGAAGUCCACUAUGUGCUGGGCACACAGAGAAUAGAGCAUGAAACAAAAGCAACAUGACCCUGCCCUCACCAAGACUACAGGGAGUGAUGGAGCAUACAACUUUGUUUCAGAAUGCAAUUCAGAUCUUCCCUUUCGCUUGGCUUCUUAAAACUUCUUUUGAGGAUGGUAAAAUUUCGUGUUAUAUUAAAUUUCAUCCUGUAACUGAUACUCUGGGAUGAUGUUGGCCAAUAACUAGCAAGACUUUAAAUAAUCAACUAGUUUAGGCAUUGCUUAGCACGCUCCAGCUGACUUCACAAGUAAAACCAUGUGAAGAAAGAAGGUUUUCAGGUAACACAGAUGGAGGUGAUGAUCUUUCUCAUUUUGUGGAAAAUAUUAAUUUCUCAUUUUUUAUUCACUGACAAUUAGUAAAAUUCCUUACUCUACCUAAUAUGUAGACUUCUGAACUAUGUGAGGAAACUGAAGCACAGACAGAGUACAUAACUUUCCUCAGGUCACAGAGCUAGUAAGUACGGAAGUCAAACACUGCCAGGCUGGCUUGAUCAAUCGUGACUAAGUAUGUCUUGCAAAUAUUUCCCAAACUUUACACUUUCUGUUCUAUUUGGUUUAUUAUUACAUGUAUUACAAACUAGGUUUCAUAUAAUCAAAUCCAUUGAUUUUAAAAUACUUUCUUUUCGGUAUACAGAUUAUUUCUCAAGGCCAGGUGUGGUGGCUCAUGCCUGUAAUCCCAGCACUUUGGGAGGCCAAGGCGGGUGGAUCACAAGGUCAGGAGAUAGAGAUCAUCCUAGCCAACAUGGUGAAACCCCGUCUCUACUAAAAAUACAAAAAUUAACUGGGAAUGGUGGCAUGUGCCUGUAGUCCCAGCUACUCAGGAGGCUGAGGCAGGGGAAUUGCUUGAACCCGGAAGGCGGAGGUUGUGGUGAGCCGAGAUCACACCACUGCACCCCAGCCUGGGCGACAAAGUGAGACUCUGUCUCAAAAAAAAAAAACAAAAAAACAAAAAAACUACUUCUUUAUAUGGGAAGGUAAGCAAACAACUACACAAAGACAUUUUGUCAGGUAUGGUUUAUGUCAUUAUUGUUUAGAAUAGCAAAACAUUCAGAAGCAACUUAAAUGUCCAUCCACUGAGGUGUGAUUAAAUAUAUCAUGAUACAUUCAUACACAGAUCUUAUGCAGUCACAAGGAUGAGAAAGCUGAAUAUAUAUUUCUAUUGACACAAUUUAGUCACUGCAUAUUGAUAAAAAGGAAUGCUUUUGAAAUAGAAGCUCACCUAUGUUUUAAAAACAUAUGUGUUGUAAAUACAUGUUUACCUCAAUCUAUUCAUAUAUGAGUAGAAGUUCGUGCUUGGCUGCUUAUCUCUUUUUGAAAACAUUUUUAACAGAGAAUGGAUUACUGGUGAAAAAAUACUUUUUCCAAAAAAUUUAAGGGCUGAAUUCUAGCCCUAACUUUCACUAAUGCACAUGGCUCUUUGAUUAAAAUCAAGAAACACUCUUAUUUUUUUAAGAAAAGGCUUUCUUUACUAAGAGAUCAAAUAAAUAUUCACUUUCUGGCUGAUAGUUUUUCUGAAAUACACAUGAUUGCUAUUUUAAAAAUAUCUUUUUGUGUCUCUUUAGAUAUCUCUUAAUGCACUCUAGGUGUCAAAUAUGAGCAAUCUGUUUGUAGGAGAGAAUGGCUCCUUGCUCCAAUAGGUAGAUCUCUCUAAGAAUCCUCCUAACACACUAUUGUUAACUUAUAAAUAUGCUCAGGCACAUAAUAGGUACUUAGUAAAUAUAUGUUGACUCUUGAAUGAAGAGCUGAUUGGAGUAAUGAAAACAGCCUGUGUUAGUACCCUGACCGAAGUUUAGACUUAAUCCCCAUAUAGAUAAUUUCAGAAAUACAUUCUUAGGGCCAGGCUUGGUGACUCACACCUGUAAUCCCAGCACUUUGGGAGGCCGAGGUGGGUGGAUCACGAGGUCAGGAGUCCAAGACCAUCCUGGCUAACACAGUGGAAUCCUGUCUGUACUAAAAAUAUGAAAAAUUAGCCAGGUGUGGUGGCGGGUACCUGUAGUCCCAGACACUCGGGAGGCUGAGGCAGGAGAAUCACUUGAACUUGGGAAGCGGAGGUUGCAGUGAGCGGAGAUCGUGCCAUUGCACUCCAGCCCGGGCGAUAGUGAGAGACUCUGUCUCAAAAUAAAAAAUUAAAAAAAAAUAUAUAUAUAUAUAAUUGGAAUAAUUAUGAAACAUGUACAUACAUGCACCAAAAUGUAAGCUUGAUGGUAAAGAUAUUUAUUGAUUAGUCACUGCUGUAUCAUUAGGACCGAGGUCACUGUCUGACAAUAGAUACUCAAUAAAUAUUGUUUAAAAAAGUAAAUUAAUAGUUUACAUGCUAUAUAAAAUAACCCGCUUAUGUAAAAUAAACCAUUUUUUCAAAUUACUAGAAAGUAAGGUUAGUUUUAUUAUAAUUAUCUCACAGGUUACUAAACUAAAACUGAUAGAAUUUAAGUAACUUGCCCAAGCUUUUACAGUUGGGAAAUGCUAGAUCUGGGAUCUAAAGCUCCUGGGAUCUAAGUGUGAUCUUAGAGUUCAUGUAAGCAAGCUGUACAUCCUUUCUUUACAUACCACUCUGGGGCUGUGAGGAAAAAGAGACUAUAAUAAAUAUUUUGCACUGUUUUAUUGCUACUCAAAUGUCCUUUCAUUCAUUCAUUUAGCAAAUCUUCAUGGAAUGCUUACCAUGUGUCUUUUUUAGAAACUGGGAUUGGAUUACAAUGGUUGAAAAAAAAAAUAGGUGAAGUUCCCCAUUCUAAUGGGGAAGGAAAGAAACAACAAAUGUGCCAACUAGGGACUAAAAAAGGUAAUUUAAAAAUCUGAUGAUUGUUCUGAGGAACCUUUAAAUGGGUUGAUCAAGGAUGGCUCCAAGAAGGGAAAAUUCUCCACUGGAAGCUCUGGGACAGACUGUUAGAGGCAGGACCAAAUAGCAAGGGCAAUAAACCCAGUGUGUUUGAGUAUUUUGAAAUGGCUGGUGUGCCUGGAACAUAGUGAACCGGGGGAAGUGGGAGCCAGAUGGCAAGUCCUUCAAAGUCAUUUUUAUUUAUUUGCAAUACUUAAAGCUUCCAGAGAAUGGGUGUUUGAUUUGGGCAUUUUAAGCUGAUUUAAGCCUACUGAGCAACAAUUAAAAAUCAUUUAACCUCUCUACCCAAACAUUUGAGUUAUUUCAAUUUUCAAUGAUGCUUUAAAAUAUGAAGAGGAAAAAUAGAGAUAGUAUAAGUUAACAUUAUGAACCCUGUGAAAGAAGAAUUCAAAAUAAAUCACUAGGGAUGUUAGACUGGCUAAAGAAAAGGUUGCUUAAUACUGGCAUUGGCUUUCAAGAGAAAUCAUGGAAUCUCCCCUCUGGAGAUAGUUUAAAAUAGGAUUAGAUAUAUUCACUCAGUGCAGCCUUGCCUGAAAGCUCCAUUGACCUCCCAAGGUCUUGCCAGUCCUGUGAUUCUGUGAUAAAAUUAGACCCUUUCAUUGGACAAAAACAACCCAGGGUUCACCAUGCCAGCUGCAACCUGGAAUAAUUGGAAGGAACUGAUUUUGGAGUAGUAUACCUCCUAGAGUUGAGACAAGAUGCAAUUAACAGAUCCCCAAACCUCUCCUAUUUCAUGCUGUACUGAGUACUCUGCUGGUUCUCAGCCAAUAAUGGCUGGUAUCAAUGAUACAAGCAAAGUCAAAUGGUCUGAUCCAUGAUUAAAUAGUAGAUGUCUUUAUUAGCUGCUGACCUUGCUUUGAACAGUAUGGCUUCAAGAAUUGUGUGCCUAUUAGCUGAUUCUUUAAUCCCUGAAAAUAGAAACCAGAUGAAUCCAAUAAUGCAUUUUUAUUUGGCCUCUUUUCCACCAUUCUCAAGACGAAAUAACUCAAGUUCCUAUGCCAUGAGCCUUAACCUCAUUAAGCAACUCAGCUCAACAGUUCAGAUACUUAAUCUGCAAUAUUUACCCAUUGCAUUUUCUCAUUUAACAAUCACUGCUUUGAAGAAAAAUUCAAGUAAAUAUAUAUAUAUAUAUAUAUAUAUAUUUCUUUUUUGUUUUUUCCUGACAUUCUCAUUUAGAGGCAAAUAGGCAGUGACUAGAGCACAACUCUGGAGUGAGGCAGACCUGGGGUUAAAGCUGUCUCCUUGUGACCUAGAAUGUAAUUAUUAACUUGAAGAAGUUUCCAAUCUCUGAGGCUUGCUUUAUUUAUCUAUGUAUUAGGGAUAAUCUUAUUACCCACCUCAUGGACUUGAUAUUAGGAUUAAAUUAGCUAAUAUAUAAUAACAUACUUCUCUUUCUUCAUCUUCUACAUUCUUCUUUAUCCCAUCUCUGAUGAUUAUGUUUUCUUGCUUACUGUUUUUUCUUUCACUUCCCACCUUCACCAUCUGCUAACACACACACACAAAUACACACAAAUCCAGAUGUGAGUCCAUGACAACAGGGACCCUCUGACAGUGCCUACAAAGAGUUACACAUAAAUAUCCCUUGACAUACAUUUGUGGGGUAAAGGAAAGCAUCAAACAUUUUGCACACUGGUACCUGGUAUAUGAUGAGCAUUCUAUGAAAGGUUAACUGAUUUUUUUUUCUUAGAAAUAACAGAUUCAGCUAUAUCUAUCAGUUUAUUUUGUCAUCUGAAGCAGCCUGCUGUCAAGAGGAAAGUGAGAGGAACAUGCACAGUGGACAGAACUUGGUUCUGGCUUUGUAACAAUAACGUUACUGUAUUUUAUUUAUUUUUUGAGACAGAGUCAGUCGGUCGCUCAGGCUGGAGUGACAUCAUGGCUUACUGCAGCCUCAACCUCCUGGGCUCAAGUGAUCCUCCCAUCUCAACCCUAUGAGUAUCUGAGACUACAAGCAUGCACCACCAUGCCUUGCUAAUUAAAAAAAAAAUUAUUUGUAGAUAGGGGGUUUCCUUUUAUUGCCCAGGCUGUUCUUCAACUCCUUGAACUUCUCUUGCCUCAGACUCCCAGAGUACUGGCAUUAGAGGCAUGAGCCACCAUGCUCAGCCACAAUAAUGUAAUUUUGGACAAGCCAUUGCAUCUCUUUGGUUUCCUUCCAUAUGUGAGAUUUCAUAUUCUUAUUACUAUUGCAACUGAUUUUUAUGCAACUGCACAUUAUAAUCCUUAGUAAAAGGGGUAUAAGAGACUAAAGAAAACAUGUAGUUAUGCUAUUAAAUGCUCUCAGAACCAUCCCCUCACAUUCUGAGUAUCCUCAGUUAACUUCAUUGUAGAAUGAGGAAAUCAGGAAACAGAGAGAUUGAAGAAUGCAUAAGUAUAUGAAACAUUCCCAGUGAGUAUUUUCACUACUUUCCUAUUUACCUAGUCACAAUCCACAAAACACAAAAGAGGAGAACCCUCAAGCUUGGAUCAGCAGGGAGAACUGAGCAGCUUUGUGUUCGUUCUUGGAUAUAUUUGUCUUUCUUGCAAGCCAAAAUACCUCCAUGUUUGUGUUCUAGAGCAAAUGUUUCUUUAGUCUCUUUCAUAGAGUUCCCUUUUCUUCUUUAUUUACUUUACUUAUUCAUCAUGUCCAUAAUGUACAUUCAGACCUCAAGUAUUGGCUAGGACAAGGCUGGGGAGGAAAGCACUUCGUGGCAUGAGGUUCACAUUUUUGAAAGGAGGAUCAUAGGACCCUGGAGAUUUAGACGUUAACACAGCUCCUUUCCAUUUUAAAUUGUAAAUAUUUAUGCAAAUUCAAGAUGAAAGAAUAUAUGCUAGUUUGUCUUUAAACAAGUAAAUAUCUGAAAAGCUUAAGAAGGUGGGAUGGAUGCUCAUGAAAGGGAAAGGAAAAAGGCAAAAGGGCGGAAGAAAGACGAGAAAAUGAAAGACAGAAAGAAUGUGUAAAACAGGAAGAAUGUGAAAGACAAAAUGAAAAGACUUCUCAAACUCAAAAUGGCAAGCAAUAUGAUCAACAGGUAGAACUAAUAACUAGAAAAGCUGCUUUAAGGGCAAAGUUUUUAAUACUUUUUAUUUAUUUAUUUAUUGUUAUUUAUUUUUGAGAUGGAAUCUCACUCUGUCACCAGGCUAGAGUGCAGUGGCAUGAUCUCAGCUCACUGCAACCUCCGACUCACUGGUUCAAGCGAUUCUUCUGCCUCAUCCUCUCAAGUAGCUGGGAUUACAGUCACGUGUCACCAUGCCCAGCUAAUUUUUGUAUUUUUAAUAGAGAAGGGGUUUCACCAGGUUGGCCAGGAUAGUCUUGAUCUCCUGACCUCGUGAUCUGCCUACCUCAGCCUUCCAAAGUGCUGGGAUUACAGGCGUGAGCCACCACGACUGGCCCAAGUUUUUAAUAAUUUUUUGAAACUUUUUUUUUUUCAGAAUUUAGAACUUGGAUGGUGAUUUGAUUGGGGAGAUGUUUUGAAAAGGGAAAAAAAAAUGAAUAGUAGAAAUGUCUAAAGAUGCUGAUUAAGAGGAACAACAAAGCCAGAUGGCAUAAAUGGCAUCUUUAGGAAUUUUGUGGCAUAAGAAGCUAUGCUAAAAAGUUCCCCUCUGUCCUGAAUGUGGUGCAGUCACACACUGAGCAUGCUCUGUGUCCUUAGUUAGCCACAUGAACUCACUUAAUGUGCUCGACCUUAAAACCUCUACCUUUGUCUUAGCGAUUUAGACUGUUUGUUUUUUAGCUGUUUUCAGUACUUCAUCAAGCUGAUUUUGUUGCCCUUUUAGAAAUCUUAAUCAGUAAAAGUUGUCUUCUUUGUAAAACAGUUAUGGCAUAUCUAUACUCUAGAAUUUUAAGCAGCCAUUAAAAAGAAUGAGGAUAUCUACAUGUAUUGAACUUAGAUUAGGUUAAAAUAUCAACUUGCAGAAUAAUUGGUACAAACCUAUUUUGGUUACUAACAGUAACAUGUAUAUAUUUGUAUCAUUAUAGCAAGAGGUAGAAAAAAAUACACAUAAACUACUAGCUUUAGUUUUCUGCAAGACAGAGAGGGUGUAGAAAGCAAAGGGAUUAUUAAUUUUUUUCUUCAUAUUUCUACAUUGUUUAUUUGUUAUAAUAAUCAUGCAUCGCUUUUGUUGUUAAGAUAAUAAUGUGGAAAACUAUUUAAAGACUUCCUUACAGUUAUUAUGUAGGACUAUCCCUUUAUAAGAACUAAUAUUUUAUGGGAAUUAUUUGGAAUAUCAUUCAUAGUUAUUCCCUAAAUAAUUAUCAUGCUAGAUAUUUACUCCAUGCAUGCUUUAAACACUGAGUCAGAUGCUGCAAACUGUCUAUUCAAUAACCAUUCUGCCAUUUUCCUUACUAUAUGAAAGCUUAUAAUAGUCUCAGAGGCAACAUGGCCAGCAUAAAAGUAGAACAACAGAACAGAAUGAAACAUAAGAAAACAGAAACAAACAAGUAGAAGCUCAAAUAUCCACACAACUAAAAGUGGCGAUGAUAAUAAAAUCUGGCUCUGGUGACAUAAGCGGAAGUUGUUGUGUGGAACGUGCAGGAGGACUCCUUCAAAAGGAAUAUGGACAGGGAGUGCACACUUUUCCAGCCUUCUUGUCUCAUUCCUUCUUGCUGCCAGGAACAAUGACAUGAGAACUGGAGCGCUAACAGCCAUUCAGAUCAUGAGGCAACAUUAAGGAUGAAAACCACACACUGAGGAUGAUGGAGCAGAAAAAACGGAGAGAAGGAGAUUUUCUGACCAUCCCAUGGUGCCAGUUGACACACCUGGACUGCCUACUUCUGACUCUCUUGUAUUUGAAAUAAUACAUUUUGUUGUGUUUAAUCACUACUAUUUUGGAUUUUCUGUUGUAUGCAGCUGAAUUUAGUUCUAAUUGAUGUAGACAAGUCUGUCUGUAACUAGAUGCAUGUGGAAAAUAAAACUUUUAUGGGAAAAAUAC
This 8150-nucleotide long non-coding RNA is filed under the name Homo sapiens (human). Its description in RNAcentral is "non-protein coding MEF2C-AS1:49". The record is from RNAcentral. Lineage: Eukaryota; Metazoa; Chordata; Mammalia; Primates; Hominidae.